Molecule: ribosomal RNA, 232 nt
Filed under: Listeria monocytogenes
Lineage: Bacteria; Bacillati; Bacillota; Bacilli; Caryophanales; Listeriaceae
Description: partial 16S ribosomal RNA
Rfam family: Bacterial small subunit ribosomal RNA
Source: RNAcentral
GUACAAAGGGUCGCGAAGCCGCGAGGAGGAGCUAAUCCCAUAAAACUAUUCUCAGUUCGGAAUGUAGGCUGCAACUCGCCAACAUGAAGCCGGAAUCGCUAGUAAUCGUGGAUCAGCAUGCCACGGUGAAAACGAUCCCGGGCCUUGUACACACCGCCCGUCACACCACGAGAGUUAGUAACACCCGAAGUCGGUAGGGUAACCAUUAUGGAGCCAGCCGCCGAAGGAGGGA